GAUGAACGCUGGCGGCGUGCCUAAUACAUGCAAGUCGAGCGAACGGACGAGACGCUUGCUUCUCUGAUGUUAGCGGCGGACGGGUGAGUAACACGUGGAUAACCUACCUAUCAGACUGGUAUCACUUCGGGAAACCGGAUCUAAUACCGGAUGAUAUUUUGAACCGCAUGGUUCAAAAGUGAAAGACGGUCUUGCUGUCACUACUAGAUGGAUCCGCGCUGCAUUAGCUAGUUGGUAAGGUAACGGCUUACCAAGGCAACGAUGCAUAGCCGACCUGAGAGGGUGAUAGGCCACACUGGAACUGAGACACGGUCCAGACUCCUACGGGAGGCAGCAGUAGGGAAUCUUCCGCAAUGGGCGAAAGCCUGACGGAGCAACGCCGCGUGAGUGAUGAAGGUCUUCGGAUCGUAAAACUCUGUUAUUAGGGAAGAACAUAUGUGUAAGGAACUGUGCACAGCUUGACGGUACCGAAUCAGAAAGCCACGGCUAACUACGUG
This 497-nucleotide ribosomal RNA is filed under the name uncultured bacterium. RNAcentral describes it as "partial 16S ribosomal RNA". It matches the Rfam family "Bacterial small subunit ribosomal RNA", at positions 28 to 507 of the family's 1533-position model. The record is from RNAcentral.